This 429-nucleotide ribosomal RNA is filed under the name uncultured bacterium. RNAcentral's name for it is "bacterial SSU rRNA". It matches the Rfam family "Bacterial small subunit ribosomal RNA", at positions 355 to 776 of the family's 1533-position model. The record is from RNAcentral.
UGGGGAAUCUUCCACAAUGGGCGAAAGCCUGAUGGAGCGACGCCGCGUGAGAGAAGAAGGCCUUCGGGUUGUAAAUCUCUGUCUUCAGGGAAGAAUGUAUCCUAUGUGAAUAAUGUGGGGUAAUGACGGUACCUGAGGAGGAAGCCACGGCUAACUACGUGCCAGCAGCCGCGGUAAUACGUAGGUGGCGAGCGUUGUCCGGAAUUAUUGGGCGUAAAGCGCGCGCAGGUGGCUUUACAAGUCUUCUUUAAAAGUGCAGGGCUUAACCCUGUGAUGGGGGAGAAACUGUAAGGCUUGAGUGCAGGAGGGGUAAGCGGAAUUCCCAGUGUAGCGGUGAAAUGCGUAGAUAUUGGGAGGAACACCAGUGGCGAAGGCGGCUUACUGGACUGCAACUGACACUGAGGCGCGAAAGCUAGGGGAGCAAACGGG